This is a long non-coding RNA of Trachemys scripta elegans, 3651 nucleotides long. RefSeq lists it as uncharacterized. The transcript is spliced from 5 exons. Lineage: Eukaryota; Metazoa; Chordata; Testudines; Emydidae. The record is from RefSeq and is a predicted model, not a curated record.
AAGAGAGGAUACUGGGCUAGAUGGACCAUUUGUCUGACCCGGUAUGACCAUUCUUAUGUUCUUACAACAGGGGCCUGGCAGGGAUUAAGGAAACAGAGAGUGAAACAAGGAACUAGAAUUAAUUGUCCUGUGGAUGGAGCAACUAAUUGCAGCAUAGGUGCAUUGUACCUUUAGCUCUGCUCAAUAAUAGAAAGAGCAGUUUGUACAUUGAAGGCCAAAUUCUGCUCUUUGUUACACCUGUGCGAUGACACUGACUACCAUGGUGGAACUGAAAGAAGAAUCAAGCCCAAUGGGUCCAAUUGUCAAAUCUGAGCACAUCAUUCAAGACACCCAGUUCUACUCAUGAUACUAGGCACCCAAGUACCCACAUUACAUGCCCAGUAAUUAAAAACAGCCAAUGCAUUUGGCACUCCACAGAACACACAAGGAGACAUAGGCACUGGCCCCUAGUAUCUUAGCACAGACACAGAUAAGAAACAUAAUCCCCUGUAUGACAGUUCAGACACAGAGUGGAGCAGAUCAACAUGGAAAUGCUUCUGGUGCCUUUCUUGAUUGCCACUGACUCACUGUGUCUCUUUCUAUGCUGCAGUUUUCCCACCUGUAAAACUAGAGUGGAGAAAAUGGGAGAUCUGAGAUAUCAGUGGGAACUGAGUUAUAAAGGAAACUGUUGCAGUUGCGGAUCAGAGCAGUGAGAGGGGAAACUGAUUUUGCUGGGAGCAUUUUGGAUGGGUUGAAGGGGGAAGUUUGCAGUAGAUAACUAUGACAUGGCAGCAGUUCAGGGCAGCUUCCCGGGGUGAGGCGGGAGGGUCUGAUUUUAGAGUUACUGAAACAGGACAAUAGGGCAGCAUUCUGGGAUGUGAAGGGACAAGAAAAGCGCUGGGGGAUGCAAGCCUACAUGACGAGACGAAUGUCAGCAUUGUCUUUCUACAUCCAGCUAUACCCAUUCCCUAACGUGGAACCAGACAUGACUUCCUCCAUCUCCAUAUCUUUUCUCACCAUGUCAGUGCUGGCUGGAAUAGGGACCUGUAUGUAAUUGGGGCACCGAGCCGGAUGCCUUCCCUAAGCUCCUUACUUUCUUUCUAAUUUGCUGUCAGAGCUGAAUAAAUUAAUGGGGAUGGCUAUCAGCAUGAUAGGCAAAUCCCAGCAGGGCCCCGGGCCUCCCUGCAGAUUAAUCUGCCUGUCUCGCAAUAACCUGUCUCCCAAAUCACCACCUCUUAAUUCAGAUGGUGCUCUGAAAAAACCUGCCAUAAUGCCGUGCCCUUGCCCCUCCCGUCACUGCCAGGGAGAAGAUCACAGGGAUGGGGGAGUAAAUCAUCAUGGAGGUAUUAAAAGGAAACAGACAGUACAGUGAGCUUCAAAGCUGUGGCUCAAAAAGUCAGUGGCUGGGGAAUUGAUUGCAUCUUUGCAUUAUCAAAGCAGAGAAGAAGGGGUGGGGGAGUUUGAUUUUAAAAUGGCGGCUUGCCCAACCAAAAUGUAGUUUGUUGUUUAGGUUUUUGAAAUCAAUAUCAAGUGGAUUUUAGAUUGUCUUUAAUCCUAGUUUAAAUUACUGCACAGGUGGUGUCAUUCCCAAUCACCUUAUACAUUCAGGAGACACAAUCGGGAGGGAGGGAGAGACUGGGCCCUGACAAGGAGGUUUCUUUUUGCCUCCAUCUUAUUUGGAGGAGAGGGUGUGCAAUGUAUUGUCAUUGCUGGAGAGAAGGCGUUACGUUGUUUCCUGCAAUUAGUUCCCCCCAGUCUUCGAUCCACUAUCAUGAGACCAAGAUUCAGAGCCUGUGAUAGCAGGGCUGGGGAGUAGGAAUCAUAGCGAGGGUAGCUUGCCUGUCCCUCUCAUGCAUGCAUACAUGUUUAGUAUGUUUAUGUGUAGUGUGGUAGUGCCCAUUGUGCUAGGUGCCACACAAACAUAAAUAAAAGAUGUCUCUGAGCUGAAUAUCUUACAAUCUAAAGCCUUGUCUUCUCUAGGAAGAAAGAUGUUUUCUAGGUUCCCAUGGAGUCUUCACCUUGACCUCGUGUGAGAACGGCAAACUACUUUGUCUUCCCUUGGAUUUUACCUCGUUAGUUACUGUGUGUUAGCUAACACGUGGUCAGAAAACAGCUUUUUUCCUAGUGAAAACAUACGGGAGGACAGGAGACAACAGAUGGAGACAACAAAAAGGCAGAGAGAUCCCAACCUAACAAUGAGACGCUGAUAAGCUAUGUAAUAAGCGACAGUUAUGCCUCCGCAUGCAUAGCCCCCAUUCCCACAUAUUCACACACAUGCACAGACCCAUCUGCAAAAAUAACAAAGACCUAAGUCUAGGUUAUCUGAAUAUGAUGCUGGCUUUUCUUCCCUUGGUAUUAAUUUGCCAGUGCCAGGCCGAGGCAACGUCUUUGUAUUUCAACAGCACCUUCUAUCCAAAGAUCUCACAGCACAUUAUGAACAUUCUUUAAUUAAGUUUCCCUGUGAGGUCGGCAAGUAAAAUAUUAACAUCCGCAUUUUGAAGACACAGAAACAGAGGUUUGCCUCAAGAUCACACAACAAGUCAGCAGCAGGAUCAGGAACAAAACUCAACAGUCCUGAUUCCCUGUCCUCCCUUGCUGUAACCACUAGACCACAUACCCUACCAGAGUAUAUAGAACAGUAGCGUUUAAGGCCAGAGGGGUCCAUGAGCUCAUCUAGUAUAAUGCCGGCCACAGAAUUUCAUCCAGUUACUUCUGUAUUAAACCCGGUAACUUGUGUUUGGCUAAAACAUAUCUUCCAGGAAGGCAUCGAGUCUUGAUCUGAAGACUUCAAGACCUGAAGAAUCUGCCACUAUCCUGCCUGGUGGGAUAUUCAUUGCAGCGCAUGGAACAGGGGUGCUGUCUCCGUGAUCACAGCAAUUUGAGACCCAGCCACUCCCAGCAGCAGUGAUACUUUUUCUUUGCCUUCUAAAAGAGACAUGACGCAAGUUCAUUUGGACAUGUAGAGGCUGCUGUUUCACUUUGGGCCUCUACCAUCUCAUCACUGCAGCCCCUCAGGAAGGGAAUGGAACAGCAUGGAAUGCCAUCUGCUGAGGUGUUGAUGUGAGGAGCUUGAAGCCUAGCAUUGCUGGAAUUCCCAAGAAGAAACCCAAGAUCUACUGUACAGAGAGGGCCAGCCAGAGACAACAUUGUUGUAAUACAAGUGUGGCCUACUGGACAUGCUCACAAAGGUGGCAAACCUGGGGAGUUCCCUUCUGUAAGUACACCUUCCCCUGUCUGGGGUGACUUCUGCGCUGUUUUGUUCGGACUAGUUCUAAAGAAGAAUUGAUAUCAGUUUCCACCGGCCUAUCCUAAAUGACUAGCCUAGAAGAGCUUUCAGGCAAAUAAAUAGGGGCUUGCAAUAUUAUGCCACAUCAGGCCCCAUGCACAUCAUCAUGUGGUGGCAAAUCUGUGCAAUAGAUUAGUAUUGCAAUCUAGUCUGUUAAUCUAAUCUCUCUUUCUCUUUCUAUUCUAAUCUAGUUGAUCUCUUUCUCUAUGCUUUUCUAGUGCAUCCAUCAGCAUUGACUCACACAAGAAAGAACCCCCUAAUAGAGAGAGGAUGGGGAACUUGGGAUGAAUGAGCUAAAUUGAACUAUUAUUAUUAACCAUGUAUGUAGCGUUGUAAACGCUUAUGGCUCUAUAGAGUCAAGUCAGGGGAUAAUAAAUAAUAAAUCC